CCUACGGGAGGCAGCAGUGAGGAAUAUUGGUCAAUGGGCGAGAGCCUGAACCAGCCAAGUCGCGUGAGGGAGUACUGCCCUAUGGGUUGUAAACCUCUUUUGUCGGGGAGCAAAAGCCGGACGUUUCCGGCUGUGAGAGUUCCCGAAGAAAAAGCAUCGGCCUAAUCCGGGCCCAAAGCCGCGGUAAUACGGGGGAUGCGAGCGUUAUUCGGAUUUUUUGGGUUUAAAGGGUGCGCAGGCGGAUUUUUAAGUCAGCGGUAAAAUCGUGGGGCUCAACCCCAUCCAGCCGUUGAAACUGGGGAUCUAGAGUGUGCGAGAGGUAUGCGGAAUGCGUGGUGUAGCGGUGAAAUGCAUAGAUAUCACGCAGAACCCCGAUUGCGAAGGCAGCAUACCGGUGCACAACUGACGCUCAGGCACGAAAGCGUGGGUAUCGAACAGGAUUAGAUACCCGAGUAGUC
This 458-nucleotide ribosomal RNA is filed under the name uncultured bacterium. Its description in RNAcentral is "partial 16S ribosomal RNA". It matches the Rfam family "Bacterial small subunit ribosomal RNA", at positions 338 to 795 of the family's 1533-position model. The record is from RNAcentral.